AGAGUGAACGCUGGCGGCAGGCCUAACACAUGCAAGUCGAACGGCAGCACAGGAGAGCUUGCUCUCUGGGUGGCGAGUGGCGGACGGGUGAGGAAUACGUCGGAAUCUGCCUAUUUGUGGGGGAUAACGUAGGGAAACUUACGCUAAUACCGCAUACGACCUACGGGUGAAAGCGGAGGACCUUCGGGCUUCGCGCAGAUAGAUGAGCCGACGUCGAUUAGCUAGUUGGCGGGUAACGGCCCACCAAGGCGACGAUCCGUAGCUGGUCUGAGAGGAUGAUCAGCCACACUGGACUGACGACCGACGGUCCAGACCGUCCGUACGGG
Molecule: ribosomal RNA, 326 nt
Filed under: uncultured soil bacterium
Lineage: Bacteria
Description: bacterial SSU rRNA
Rfam family: Bacterial small subunit ribosomal RNA
Source: RNAcentral